UGGACGCAGGCGUGCCUGCGCAGUGCGCGUAGGAGUGCUGUUCGUGUGUUCGAGUCCCUGGGUUGCUUCCUGGGGUCUGUGGUGCUGGGUGUGCUAUCUGCGUGUGAUUCUCUAGCGAGAGAUUGUGGGCGAGUGACCGAGUGGGCAAGGGGCCGUCACUGUGUGUGCGUGAUUGUGACGGUGUGUGGUGGUAGCUUCUGACUCCGCGUGGGUCGUUGAAUGUGUGACUGGGACCGUUUAGCGGUGGAUACACAACUGUGUGCGGCUGUGGAAGAUUGCCUCAUCCGUUACGUUCCCAUUUCCGUGGAACAACAGUUUUACCAGAAGGUUUCGAAGGAACCUUAAAGUUUGGAAGCGUAAGAGUUUAUCUGGCGGCUUUGGUGUCAUCAAGUGUGAGAAGCCCUGGACUUUACACUUCCCGAGCCAGUGUGAUCCAGUAUGAUUGGGAGUCCGAGUGCCAGAUGCCGGUCAGGACCUGUUAUGCUGGGUCUCAGAAUGCGGAAACUCUCCCUGUCCGAGGUGGAACAGUUUGUCCUUGAGUGAGGACUGGAGUCCUGAGUGACUCUUUUGAUUUGAUCCUGUUUCCCUCAAACCUGAGAUGGGAGCCUCACUGUAUUGCCCAGGCUGGUCUUGAACUCCUGAGCUCAAGUGAUCGUCUUGCUUCAGCCUUCCAAAAUGAUGGUGAAGCUGCAUCAUUGUCUGGGGUAAAUACCUGAGGUUCGUUGUCUCACGCCAAGGGAAUCAAGGACGUGGACACACAAGAAGUGAGUUUAAGAGCGGAGGUUUAAUAGGCGAAAGAGAAAAGAGAAUAGCUCUAGCUCCUGCAGAGAGAAAAGGGCUCCCAAGUAGGACUUCCAGUCCGUGGCGAAGGGCACGGGGUUUAUAGACUGGCUUCAGGAGGUGGUGUCUGAUUUACGUAGGCCCCAAAGAUUGGUUGGACCAGGUGUGCCAAUCAGAAGCUGGCUGCCCCACCCUAAUCUUUUAUUAUGCAGAUGGGGUCCCUGUCUGACCGGGCCAUGUUGUAUGUUCCUUACUGUACACGUGGUUGACAAAGAAAAGGGAAGAUGGAGCUGCGAUGCUGGACAUGCCUGGCCCCCAGGUAGCUUUUUCCUAUUGGCACAGCUGCUGGCAUUCACCCAUGCAAACUUCCAGCUUGCUUAUCUGUGUCUGCAGCUUGAUUUUUCAGGCUGCUGUUUGUUAGAAAAGAAAUGACUUGGGGGCUGCUUUUCAUUAAAAGGAAAACCUUACCGAGGAUUUCCUUACCCUCACUAUCUGCCUAAAUAAUUUCUUUUUAACUCCUAUGUCACUUGGGAUUACAGGCAUGAGCCGCUGUGCCUGCUAGAGGGUUUUUUAUCUUUAUUCCUCAAGAUUUUGCAUUUAGAUAAUUAUGUUAAACUUGGGUGUGCUAGGUAGACAUAUGUCUGCUGAUUACCCGUUUAGGAAGAAUGUGGAUUCGUACGUAGGGAAAAGGAGUCAGGCUGGUGGGACCAGGGGAAAGCAAAGAGAUAAAGCAAAUAAGCUAUAGAUCUGCAUUUUCUUCAUGGUCCAGGAUAUAUAAACAAAAAAAGGAAGCAGAUAAGCCAUAGGUUUGCUUUUCUUUAUGGCCCAGGACAUACAGCCCUGCCGAGCAAAUAAUGAACAUAACUCACAAACUUCCUGCUUAUCAUCAAACGCACGCAUCCGCUUAUCAUCAAACACCUUGGGUGACAGAAGAAUGCAGGUUAGCUCCCUGCUGCCUUAGCAUUAUCAGCCCAGGAACCAUCCUAUAAAAUCUCCAGCAAGCCUUUGUUUCCUUGCAGUCAGCUCCUCUUCCACUGAUUCUGCCUGUUGCUCCCUGAUAACAUACUUUGAUACUGUCUUUAAUAAAUCUGCCUUUCCUCACCCACA
This is a long non-coding RNA of Gorilla gorilla gorilla (western lowland gorilla), 1887 nucleotides long. RefSeq lists it as uncharacterized. Lineage: Eukaryota; Metazoa; Chordata; Mammalia; Primates; Hominidae. The transcript has 3 exons. The record is from RefSeq and is a predicted model, not a curated record.